Molecule: ribosomal RNA, 1090 nt
Filed under: agricultural soil bacterium SC-I-90
Lineage: Bacteria
Description: bacterial SSU rRNA
Rfam family: Bacterial small subunit ribosomal RNA
Source: RNAcentral
GAGUUUGAUCCUGGCUCAGAAUCAACGCUGGCGGCGUGCCUCAGACAUGCAAGUCGAACGCGAAAGUUUCCUUCGGGAAACGAGUAGAGUGGCGCACGGGUGAGUAACACGUAGGUAAUCUACCUUCGGAUGGGGAAUAACAAUCGGAAACGGUUGCUAAUACCGCAUAAUGCAGCGGCACCUAAUGGUGACAGUUGUUAAAGCGGGGGAUCGCAAGACCUCGCGUCUGAAGAGGAGCCUGCGGCGGAUUAGCUAGUUGGUAAGGUAAUGGCUUACCAAGGCUACGAUCCGUAACCGGCCUGAGAGGGCGGUCGGUCACACUGACACUGACAUACGGGUCAGACUCCUACGGGAGGCAGCAGUCGGGAAUUUUGGGCAAUGGGCGAAAGCCUGACCCAGCAACGCCGCGUGAAGGAUGAAAUCCCUCGGGAUGUAAACUUCGCAAGAACGGGAAGAAUAAGUAGGGGACAAUACCCCCUAUGAUGACGGUACCGUUUGUAAGCUCCGGCUAACUCCGUGCCAGCAGCCGCGGUAAUACGGGGGGAGCAAGCGUUGUUCGGAUUUACUGGGCGUAAAGGGCGCGUAGGCGGCCAGCGCAAGUCAGUUGUGAAAUCUCCGAGCUUAACUCGGAAAGGUCAACUGAUACUGCGCGGCUAGAGUGCGGAAGGGGCAACUGGAAUUCUUGGUGUAGCGGUGAAAUGCGUAGAUAUCAAGAGGAACACCUGCGGCGAAGGCGGGUUGCUGGGCCGACACUGACGCUGAUGCGCGAAAGCCAGGGGAGCGAACGGGAUUAGAUACCCCGGUAGUCCUGGCCUUAAACGAUGAAUGCUUGGUGUCUGGGGUUAUAAAGUCCUUGGGUGCCGUCGCUAACGCUUUAAGCAUUCCGCCUGGGGAGUACGGUCGCAAGACUGAAACUCAAAGGAAUUGACGGGGACCCGCACAAGCGGUGGAGCAUGUGGUUUAAUUCGACGCAACGCGAAGAACCUUACCUGGGCUAGAAUGCCCGUGACAACCCUAGAGAUAGGGCCUCCAAGGUAAAACUUGGCACGGUGCAAGGUGCUGCAUGGCUGUCGUCAGCUCGUGUCGUGAG